GUGGGCUCAGUAGUUUGUAGCACGUGGGCUUAGUUGCCCCAUGGCAUGUGGUAUCUUAGUUCCACAACCAGGGAUCGAACCUGUGUCCCCUGCAUUUGAAGGCGGAUCCUUUACCACUGGAAGUCCCUGCAUACAUGCUUAGAAGCUGGCACAAAGGAGGAGACCAAGUAACGUUUGCUGAGUGAAUAUAUGCAUGAAUGAUAUGAGAAGGAGGAAAAGAGCAUUUCCAGCACACGGAACAAUAUAAGCAGAUGCCUAGAGAAAUAAGCAUGAUGUGUAAAGACAGAGAAAAUUUCAUUGCAACCAUUAGAAACAAGUGACGAUGAGAAAUAAGUUUUGACAAAUACUGGAAACUCUUAAAUGCUAGGCUGAAGAGUUUGAACUUUAUCUUGUAACCACAAAAGAUUUACUCACUAGGGAAUAGGAUGAGAAAGGGGUGAAGUUAUUGAGGAAAAAAAAAAAAAGAGCAGGUGGUAAUAAUGAAACAAGUGUUUAAGAAACAUCUGUCUUACAUCUGUCUUGCAGUAAAAACAACUGCUAGCAGUUAUCUAUCUAGCACAACUCAUUGGAUGGGCAAGGGAUUUAGAAGUAGGGAAACCAGCUGAGAAUCAGAAAUCCAGAUAAGAGAUCAUAAGGUCUGGCUGUGUGAUUAAAAAGAACAACUUCUGGAGACAUUUCAAAGAAAGAUUCAACACAAGUUGGUUCCUAUUUUAUUUUGAAGGAUGACAGAUACAGUAACAGCAAACUUUUGAGUCCGGGAUAUUGGAAAACAGGGAGCGGGGCCUUAGAAUGAGACUGGGAAGUCAAGAGGGAAAAGGAUUUCUUUCUUGAUUCUAUUUUUCCUUGUAAUUUAGAGCACCACCUAUUUCUCCCAAAGAAUCCGAUGUUCCUAGGAUCUGGCUUUGAAGGUAGAAGAGCUGAAUUCCCUCUUAAUUUAAAUUUGUAAUUAAACCCUCCCUCCACCUGUUUCCCCAAAGAUCUAAAGUGCACAGGACUCAGUAAGACGGUAGCGUGGCUGAGGAGUGAGAAGCGACACGCCUACUUUACAAUAACAAUCCCAUAAUCAAAUGUAAAAAUCUUGGAAACAGCUAAACAUAGAGAACGAGUUCUGUAAAUAAUAAGCAAUUUUGUGUAACCUGUACAAAACUUAUUCCUUGGGGCUUCCCUGGUGGCGCAGUUGUUGAGAGGCCGCCUGCCGAUGCAG
Long non-coding RNA from Aethalodelphis obliquidens (Pacific white-sided dolphin), 1204 nucleotides. RefSeq lists it as uncharacterized. NCBI's taxonomy places the organism in Eukaryota, Metazoa, Chordata, Mammalia, Artiodactyla, Delphinidae. The record is from RefSeq and is a predicted model, not a curated record. The transcript is spliced from 3 exons.